GCGAUGUCACCAGUUGACACCGGACGAGCGGCACCGUACCCGGCCAGCGACAAGACGGCGCUCAC
RNAcentral lists this non-coding RNA (65 nucleotides) under Mycobacterium sp. MCS. Lineage: Bacteria; Bacillati; Actinomycetota; Actinomycetes; Mycobacteriales; Mycobacteriaceae. The record is from RNAcentral.